RNAcentral lists this long non-coding RNA (599 nucleotides) under Trifolium pratense (red clover). RNAcentral's name for it is "long non-coding RNA (TPRA_LNC005753)". Lineage: Eukaryota; Viridiplantae; Streptophyta; Magnoliopsida; Fabales; Fabaceae. The record is from RNAcentral.
UGAAGAAACUAACUUCGUAAUUCAUUGAUCAUAACAUAUGAUAAUCACAUAGUUCAAGAGAAAUAAUAAUCAGAAUCCCCGAAGGACCCAUCAUAAAAAUUUAGUUACUUAUACUAAUCAAAAUCAACAAAGGAAAAGAAGAAACUAUAACCAUGAAUUUCCAAUAGCCAACACGUGUCACAUGUUGCAGCCACUAUCUUCAAUUCUCCAUUCCUUGCACUGUAGCGCAGCUUUUGUUUCUUUUCUCCUCCUUCCGUCGAUGAACAGUUCCUUUUUUUUUGUCCUGUAGUGCGUGUGUAAUAUGUGUCCGCAGCAGCUCCUGGUACAUGUGCCAAGCUCCAUCUCUUUCUUCUUGGAUUUGGGCCAAGACAUUAGGCCCACGUUUUCUUCUUUCAUUAGGCAGCUUUGGUUUGUUUUCUAUUUACACCAGCACAUUACACUAAAACACCUAUUAAUAAUAUUUGUUCUCAAGCAUAAAAUCUGUUUAGUUGAACCAAAAAAAUAAAAACUACACAAAAUAUUAUUUUAAUAGAGAAAAACGUCUAAUUGACUCAAUAAAUCAAAAACCGCAAUUUAUUUAAAAUGACUUUAAAGUAAAC